GACGAACGCUGGCGGCGUGCUUAACACAUGCAAGUCGAACGGAGCGAAUGAAAGCUUGCUUUUAUGAGCUUAGUGGCAAACGGGUGAGUAACACGUAGACAACCUGCCGACAGGAUGGGGACAACAUUCCGAAAGGAAUGCUAAUACCGAAUGAAGCGGAGGAGAGGCAUCUCUCUUCCGUGAAAGAUGGCCUCUUUUUAUGCUAUCACCUGUUGAUGGGUCUGCGUCUGAUUAGCUGGUAGGUGAGGUAACGGCUCACCUAGGCGACGAUCAGUAGCCGGUCUGAGAGGAUGAACGGCCACAUUGGGACUGAGACACGGCCCAGACUCCUACGGGAGGCAGCAGUGGGGAAUCUUCCGCAAUGGGCGCAAGCCUGACGGAGCAACGCCGCGUGAGUGAAGAAGGUCUUCGGAUCGUAAAGCUCUGUUGACGGGGACGAACGUGCGUGAUGCGAACAGUGUCAUGCA
This 467-nucleotide ribosomal RNA is filed under the name Centipeda flueggei. RNAcentral describes it as "bacterial SSU rRNA". It matches the Rfam family "Bacterial small subunit ribosomal RNA", at positions 28 to 472 of the family's 1533-position model. The record is from RNAcentral. Lineage: Bacteria; Bacillati; Bacillota; Negativicutes; Selenomonadales; Selenomonadaceae.